RNAcentral lists this ribosomal RNA (1637 nucleotides) under Brinkmanniella palmata. RNAcentral describes it as "eukaryotic LSU rRNA". It matches the Rfam family "Eukaryotic large subunit ribosomal RNA", at positions 72 to 1521 of the family's 3401-position model. Lineage: Eukaryota; Metazoa; Platyhelminthes; Rhabdocoela. The record is from RNAcentral.
UGAUUCCCUCAGUAGUGGCGAAUGAACAGGGAUUAGCUCAAAACCGAAUCCGUUGGCUUUGCUAAUGGAAAUGUGGUGUUUGGGUUGCACGCCGAGGUUUGACUGAUUGUAUCAAGUCCACGUGAUUGUGGCUCUAGCCCAGAGAGGGUGCAAGGCCCGUAGAUACGAUUGGUUGGCUUCAUAGUGUGACCCUAGAGUCGGGUUGUUUGGAAAUGCAGCCUAAAGUGGUGGUAAACUCCAUCAAAAGCUAAAUACAACACAAGUCCGAUAGUGAACAAGUACCAUGAGGUAAAUUUGAAAAGAACUUUGAAGAGAGAGUUAAAUCAGUGCGUGAAACCGCUUAGAGGUAAGCGGGUAGAGCUGAAAGGGUUGUAGUGACUGAUGUCUUCUGGCAUGUUGUUGGGAUAGUUUUCAUCUUUCGGGAGGAUCUGUCUCAUCGUGUAGUGUCGGUUGGCUAUAUUUCCUAUGACUAAACAACGAUCAUCGAGUCUGUGGCCUAUUGCUGGGGAAGGUAGCUGCUUGCUCUCGGGUGAGUAGUGUUAUAGACCUGGCGAUGGAAUGCUGCGGGGUAUUGAUGGUGUGAUAUGCGAUGCCUAAUGCGCAUGUCGUGGUAUUAUAGGUCUUUGGGUGUAUGGGCAACUCGCAAGAGGUGUUUGUGCAAUCCUUGUCCUGCUGCGGCCUCUGCGUUUGUGUGUCAAUAAUCCGUUGUUACCAGUAGGUGUUCUACCCGGCCCGUCUUGAAACACGGACCAAGGAGUCAAACAUUUCGCGCGAGUCAUGGGGUCUUACGAAACCUAAAGGCGUAUUGAAAGAGAAGGUCUACUUCAUGUGGACUGAGGUGUGAUCAUUCGACUCUCGGGUUGAGUGCGCAGCACCGGCUUGUCUCUGACUUUUUAAGUGGGGCAAAGCUAGAGCGUGAAGUGUUGUACCCGAAAGAUGGUGAACUAUGCGUGGGUAGGUUGAAGCCAGAGGAAACUCUGGUGGAGGGCCGUAGCUGUUUUGACGUGCAAAUCAAUAGCAAAAUCCGCGUAUAGGGGCGAAAGACUAAUCGAACCAUCUAGUAGCUGGUUCCCUCCGAAGUUUCCCUCAGGAUAGCUGGCAUUUUGAGAGUUUUAUCCGGUAAAGCGAAUGAUUAGAAGUAUUGGGGACGAAAUGUCCUCAACUUAUUCUCAAACUUUAAAUGGGUAAGAUGUCGUUCUCUCUUAAUUGGAGUCUGACAUCGAAUCGGCAGUGCCUAGUGGGCCAUUUUUGGUAAGCAGAACUGGCGACGUGGGAUGAACCAAUAGCGGUGGUUAAGGUGUCUAAAUGCGCGCUCAUCACAUACCACAAAAGGUGUUAGUUGAUAUAGACAGCAGGACGGUGGCCAUGGAAGUUGGAAUCCGCUAAGGAGUGUGUAACAACUCACCUGCCGAAUCAACUAGCCCUGAAAAUGGAUGACGGUGGAGCGAGCUACCUAUACCGCGCCGUUAUCGCAAACUAUAAAAGGCGGUAACGUGUAGGAGGGCGACAUGGUUAGCAUUGAAGCUUAGGUCGUAAGACUGAGUGGAGCAGCCAUGUGUGAAGAUCUUGGUGGUAGUAGCAAGUAUUCAAGUGAGAACCUUGAAGACCAAUGUGGAGAAGGGUUCCAUGUGAACAGC